RNAcentral lists this ribosomal RNA (458 nucleotides) under uncultured bacterium. Its description in RNAcentral is "partial 16S ribosomal RNA". It matches the Rfam family "Bacterial small subunit ribosomal RNA", at positions 338 to 795 of the family's 1533-position model. The record is from RNAcentral.
CCUACGGGAGUCAGCAGUGAGGAAUAUUGGUCAAUGGGCGCGAGCCUGAACCAGCCAAGUCGCGUGAGGGAAGACGGUCCUAUGGAUUGUAAACCUCUUUUGUCGGGGAGCAAAAGACGCCACGCGUGGCGUUCCGAGAGUACCCGAAGAAAACGCAUCGGCUAACUCCGUGCCAGCAGCCGCGGUAAUACGGAGGAUGCGAGCGUUAUCCGGAUUUAUUGGGUUUAAGGGUGCGCGGGCUGAAGAUCAAGGCAGUGGUAAAAUUGAGGGGCCCAAACUCUUAGAGCGGUUGAAACUGGUUUUCGUGAGUGAGUGAGAAGUAUGCGGAAGGCGUGGUGUAGCGGUGAAAUGCAUAGAUAGCACGCAGAACUCCGAUUGCGAAGGCAGCAUACCGGCGCUCAACUGACGCUCAUGCACGAAAGUGUGGGUAUCGAACAGGAUUAGAUACCCGUGUAGUC